CUUUACACAUGCAAGUCGAACGGCAGCGGGGGCUUCGGCCUGCCGGCGAGUGGCGAACGGGUGAGUAAUGCAUCGGAACGUGCCCAUGUCGUGGGGGAUAACGUAUCGAAAGGUACGCUAAUACCGCAUACGUCCUGAGGGAGAAAGCGGGGGGAUCUUCGGACCUCGCGCGAUUGGAGCGGCCGAUGUCGGAUUAGCUAGUAGGUGAGGUAAAGGCUCACCUAGGCGACGAUCCGUAGCGGGUCUGAGAGGAUGAUCCGCCACACUGGGACUGAGACACGGCCCAGACUCCUACGGGAGGCAGCAGUGGGGAAUUUUGGACAAUGGGCGCAAGCCUGAUCCAGCCAUGCCGCGUGAGUGAAGAAGGCCUUCGGGUUGUAAAGCUCUUUCGGCCGGGAAGAAAUCGUGUUCUCUAACAUAGGACAUGGAUGACGGUACCGGACUAAGAAGCACCGGCUAACUACGUGCCAGCAGCCGCGGUAAUACGUAGGGUGCGAGCGUUAAUCGGAAUUACUGGGC
Molecule: ribosomal RNA, 519 nt
Filed under: uncultured bacterium
Lineage: Bacteria
Description: bacterial SSU rRNA
Rfam family: Bacterial small subunit ribosomal RNA
Source: RNAcentral